Molecule: ribosomal RNA, 429 nt
Filed under: Verrucomicrobiota bacterium
Lineage: Bacteria; Pseudomonadati; Verrucomicrobiota
Description: Verrucomicrobia bacterium partial 16S ribosomal RNA
Rfam family: Bacterial small subunit ribosomal RNA
Source: RNAcentral
UAGGGAAUCUUCGGCAAUGGGGGGAACCCUGACCGAGCAACGCCGCGUGAGUGAAGAAGGUUUUCGGAUCGUAAAGCUCUGUUGUUAAGGAAGAACGAGUGUGAGAAUGGAAAGUUCAUGCUGUGACGGUACUUAACCAGAAAGGGACGGCUAACUACGUGCCAGCAGCCGCGGUAAUACGUAGGUCCCGAGCGUUGUCCGGAUUUAUUGGGCGUAAAGCGAGCGCAGGCGGUUAGAAAAGUCUGAAGUGAAAGGCAGUGGCUCAACCAUUGUAGGCUUUGGAAACUGUUUAACUUGAGUGCAGAAGGGGAGAGUGGAAUUCCAUGUGUAGCGGUGAAAUGCGUAGAUAUAUGGAGGAACACCGGUGGCGAAGGCGACUUUCUGGCCAUAUACUGACGCUGAGGUACGAAAGCGUGGGUAGCAAACAGG